GAUGAACGCUGGCGGCGUGCCUAAUACAUGCAAGUCGAACGCAUUGUGGUUGAAAUGAUAUGAAGAACUUGUUCAGAUUUGAUUUUCAACAUUGCAAUGAGUGGCGAACGGGUGAGUAACACGUGGGAAACCUACCUCUUAGCAGGGGAUAACAUUUGGAAACAAAUGCUAAUACCGUAUAAUAAUUAAAACCGCAUGGUUUAGUUUAAAGAUGGUCUUGCUAUCACUAAGAGAUGGUCCCGCGGUGUAUUAGUUAGUUGGUGAGGUAAUGGCUCACCAAGACAAUGAUACAUAGCCGAGUUG
Molecule: ribosomal RNA, 303 nt
Filed under: uncultured bacterium
Lineage: Bacteria
Description: bacterial SSU rRNA
Rfam family: Bacterial small subunit ribosomal RNA
Source: RNAcentral